GACUUGUCCAGCUCUGCCUCUAUUAGUCGGUUCAGCUCUGCUUCUAUAAUUUUUUUGGUCCACUGUACAAUGGGCUCCUUUAUUACCUCCUUGAGAAUCCUUUUCAGUUUGGUCCACUGUCUCAUCAUCCAUCGAAUCACGGCCCAGGCACACAAUCUAAAAGGCAAAAGAAUUAUAGAGGCAGAGCUGGACAUAGUCUUCAGUUGAAUUUAAGGUUCCUCUUCCCUUGUUUGGAAGAGGUUAUGAUCAUUGUACGCUCCCGGCUCAAUGUUGAACACUCUUGAAGUACACUGUGAAGUUGCAGAGGAUGGUCAUCAGAAUCUCAAAGAUGAAGAAUUGCCAUAAAGGUGCUGAUGAGUUCUUUGAUGAUAUAUGUAAUUUCAAUUAUAUGAACUAUAAGAAAGUGCAAAUUGAAUAAGUGGAGAUGAUAUAGUAUUACAUAUUUAUAUCAUCAAAAUAAUAUUAAUAUUACGAUGAUAUUUUAUCA
Molecule: long non-coding RNA, 487 nt
Organism: Zea mays
Lineage: Eukaryota; Viridiplantae; Streptophyta; Magnoliopsida; Poales; Poaceae
Exons: 2
Source: RefSeq, a predicted model, not a curated record